Molecule: ribosomal RNA, 394 nt
Filed under: uncultured bacterium
Lineage: Bacteria
Description: partial 16S ribosomal RNA
Rfam family: Bacterial small subunit ribosomal RNA
Source: RNAcentral
AUGAAUGCUAGUGAGAUGCUUGACACAUGCGAAUUGAAAGAUGUAAAAAUUUUAGUGCACGGGUGCGUAAUACACAGGAUGAAUUACCUUUUAGUUUGGGUAGAAACCAGAUAUAAAAAUUGAUUGCUAAAAGAUAUGCUUGUGUACGAUUAGAUAGUUGGUAAUGUAAGAGACUACCAAGUCUGUGAUCGUUAGUUGAUUUGAGAGAAUGAUCAGCCACACUGGGACUGAGACAAGGCCCAGAUUUUAAAUAAUCAGCAGUGCGGAAUAUUGGACAAUGGGCGAAGGCCUGAUCCAGCAAUCUUACAUGAAGGAGUGAAAACACAGAAGUUUUAAACUUUACUAUUAAAGCAAAUUUAGAUAUACUUUAAAAAAAAGUCCCGGCAAACUCCGU